CAGUCGCCACGGUAAUACGUAGGUGGCAAGCGUUGUCCGGAAUUAUUGGGCGUAAAGGGCUCGCAGGCGGUUUCUUAAGUCUGAUGUGAAAGCCCCCGGCUCAACCGGGGAGGGUCAUUGGAAACUGUUAAACUUGAGUGCAGGAGAGAAAAGUGGAAUUCCUAGUGUAGCGGUGAAAUGCGUAGAGAUUAGGAGGAACACCAGUGGCGAAGGCGGCUUUUUGGCCUGUAACUGACACUGAGGCGCGAAAGCGUGGGGAGCAAACAGGAUUAGAGACCCCAGUAGUCCCUGUCUCUUAUAU
This 301-nucleotide ribosomal RNA is filed under the name uncultured bacterium. Its description in RNAcentral is "partial 16S ribosomal RNA". It matches the Rfam family "Bacterial small subunit ribosomal RNA", at positions 509 to 809 of the family's 1533-position model. The record is from RNAcentral.